Molecule: ribosomal RNA, 448 nt
Filed under: uncultured bacterium
Lineage: Bacteria
Description: bacterial SSU rRNA
Rfam family: Bacterial small subunit ribosomal RNA
Source: RNAcentral
ACCAGACUCCUACGGGAGGCAGCAGUGGGGAAUAUUGCACAAUGGGGGAAACCCUGAUGCAGCGACGCCGCGUGAGUGAAGAAGUAUUUCGGUAUGUAAAGCUCUAUCAGCAGGGAAGAAAAAAGACGGUACCUGACUAAGAAGCCCCGGCUAACUACGUGCCAGCAGCCGCGGUAAUACGUAGGGGGCAAGCGUUAUCCGGAUUUACUGGGUGUAAAGGGAGCGUAGACGGAGAAGCAAGUCUGAAGUGAAGGCCCGUGGCUUAACCACGGGACUGCUUUGGAAACUGUUUGACUAGAGUGCGGGAGAGGUAAGUGGAAUUCCUAGUGUAGCGGUGAAAUGCGUAGAUAUUAGGAGGAACACCAGUGGCGAAGGCGGCUUACUGGACAGUAACUGACGUUGAGGCUCGAAAGCGUGGGGAGCAAACAGGAUUAGAUACCCCAGUACC